GAAUCCCGUCUUUGGCAUGGAUGACCGGGGCUUUUGUGAUGCGCUCUCGAAGAGUCGAGUUGUUUGGGAAUGCAGCUCAAAAUGGGUGGUGAACUCCAUCUAAAGCUAAAUAUUGGCGAGAGACCGAUAGCGAACAAGUACCGUGAGGGAAAGAUGAAAAGCACUUUGGAAAGAGAGUGAAACAGUACGUGAAAUUGUUGAAAGGGAAACGCUUGAAGUCAGUCGCGUCGACCGAGACUCAGCCUUGCCCUUGGCUUGGUGUACUUCUCGGCUGACGGGUCAGCAUCAAUUUUGCCCCUUGGAUAAUGGCGAGGGAAAUGUGACACCUUUACGGUGUGUUAUAGUCUCUUGUCGCAUGCAAGGGUUGGGAUUGAGGAACUCAGCACGCACCUUUGGGUGUCGGGGCUUUGCCCACGAUACGUGCUUAGGAUGUUGGCGUAAUGGCUUUAAACGACCCGUCUUGAAACACGGACCAAGGAGUCUAACAUGCCUGCGAGUGUUCGGGUGGAAAACUCGUGCGCGCAAUGAAAGUGAAAGUUGGGACCUCUGUCGUGGAGGGCACCGACGCCCGGACCAGACCUUCUGUGACGGCUCUGCGGUAAAGCAUGUAUGUUAGGACCCGAAAGAUGGUGAACUAUGCCUGAAUAGGGUGAAGCCAGAGGAAACUCUGGUGGAGGCUCGUAGCGAUUCUGACGUGCAAAUCGAUCGUCAAAUUUGGGUAUAGGGGCGAAAGACUAAUCGAACCAUCUAGUAGCUGGUUCCUGCC
This 766-nucleotide ribosomal RNA is filed under the name uncultured Russula. RNAcentral describes it as "partial 28S ribosomal RNA". It matches the Rfam family "Eukaryotic large subunit ribosomal RNA", at positions 216 to 962 of the family's 3401-position model. The record is from RNAcentral. Lineage: Eukaryota; Fungi; Basidiomycota; Agaricomycetes; Russulales; Russulaceae.